Molecule: ribosomal RNA, 301 nt
Filed under: uncultured bacterium
Lineage: Bacteria
Description: partial 16S ribosomal RNA
Rfam family: Bacterial small subunit ribosomal RNA
Source: RNAcentral
CAGUAGCCGCGGGAAUACGUAGGGUGCAAGCGUUAAUCGGAAUUACUGGGCGUAAAGCGUGCGCAGGCGGUUCGGAAAGAAAGAUGUGAAAUCCCAGAGCUUAACUUUGGAACUGCAUUUUUAACUACCGGGCUAGAGUGUGUCAGAGGGGGGUGGAAUUCCACGUGUAGCAGUGAAAUGCGUAGAUAUGUGGAGGAACACCGAUGGCGAAGGCAGCCCCCUGGGAUAACACUGACGCUCAUGCACGAAAGCGUGGGGAGCAAACAGGAUUAGAUACCCCCGUAGUCCCUGUCUCUUAUAC